Long non-coding RNA from Apis cerana (Asiatic honeybee), 3752 nucleotides. RefSeq lists it as uncharacterized. The record is from RefSeq and is a predicted model, not a curated record. NCBI's taxonomy places the organism in Eukaryota, Metazoa, Arthropoda, Insecta, Hymenoptera, Apidae.
AAAUUCUUCUUAAUUAAUUAUUUAUUAAUGAUUAACGCGACAUAUGUUCUAAUGCAUCAAUGACGCCAUAUUGAAAAUUUAUUAAUUACUCGUUUUCUAAUUAAAUAUUCUGCACUUUCAAGCUUGAAUCUUGAAGCUAGAACUUCAGACAAGUUUCUUAUAUCAAUUUGAACUUGAAAUUCUUCUUCAUUAAUUAUUUAUUAAUGAUUAAUGCAUCAUAUCGAUAGAUAUCAUUAGCAUUCAUUGGGUUUUUUGUAAUUUUUUGUUGAUAUGAGAUUUUUUUCUAAAUAUGAUUAUAUACAUUUAAAAAGUUAAUUCCUUCUUUAUCUUCACAUAUAAAUUUUAUUUAUAAUUUCACGAAUAUUUAAAUGAAUAAAUUAAUUGUUUAUAAUAUGGAGAUUUGUGAGUGCGACUUUCUGUAUAAUAAUCGUUAAUAAAUAAUUAAUUAAGAAGAAUUUCAGAUUCAAAUUGAUAUAAGAAACUUGUCUGAAGUUCUAGCUUCAAGAUUCAAGCUUGAAAGUACAGAAUAUUUAAUUAGAAAACGAGUAAUUAAUAAAUUUUCAAUAUGGCGUCAUUGAUGCAUUAGAACAUAUGUCGCGUUAAUCGUUAAUAAAUAAUUAAUUAAGAAGAAUUUUGCAUUAAAAUUGUUACAGGAAACUUGUUUGAAGUUCUAGCUUCAAGAUUCAAGCUUAAAAGUGCAGAAUAUUUAAUUAGAAAAUGAGUAAUUAAUGAAUUUUCAAUAUGGUGUCUUUUGAUUGGCGGGAAAUACUCUCUGUCCUUUUCGCACAAUGUUGCUUUCUUUGUCUGUGACGUCACGCGAAUUCGCAUACCUCCUUGCACAUUCUGCUAUGCUAAUAACAAGUCGGAGCUUCGGUGAUCCAAACGCGAGAUGGCGUUGAUCACCAAAAUUUUUUAAUCGUCCGUAACUAACUUAUACACGCAAUAUAUUUUGUUAGAUAUUUAUAGGAUCAAAGAAAGUAGUACGAUGAACGAAUUAUAAUUUUAUUAAUUAUUUAUAUGGAAGCGUAUAAUAGCGUAAAGUGGAAAAUAAAUGAAAAAUAUUUUUGAAAGAAUAAAUUUAUUUGAAAAUGUAUACAUAUGUUAUACAUAUGUAAGUAAAUCAUUAUAUAUGUUAAUAAUAUAUUACUUUUAGGUUAGUUCUUAAUCGUACAAUUAGAAUUAAUUUUUUAUUACAAAUAAAUUAUAUACAUUUGUAUGAUAAUUAUCAAUUUAUUAUUAUUAUCUUGCUUCAGGUUGCAAAAUAGCUUUUCAUAUGUUAAAAACUAAUACAAUAGAAUGGAGUGAUUUAUGUUAAUAUUUUAAACUAUAAAUAAUGAAUAGGUAAAAAUUGAGAAACAAUUGAAUUGUUCUGGAUUAUAUUUCUAUAAUAAUUUCGAAACUUUAAUCUUUAAAUUAAUUUAUUUAAAAAUAUGAAUAGGAGAAGUUAUCAGAAUAUAUAAAAUCAAUCUUUUACAUCUUAUAUCUAGCAUAGUAGAUACAUAAUCCACAAAAUUAAUAUAAGAUUAUAAAAGUGUUUUUGUAUUUUUAUAUUCACUUCUGAAAAAGAAAUAUCAUUUUCUUUAGUUUUUAAAUGUUUAUAAUCAUAUAUAAUGGUAUAAAAAAAUAUUAUUAUAUAUAAGACACAUAUAUAAAUACAUGUGUAAGAAAUAGAUAAUAUAAGUAAAAAAAAUCAGAGAAGGAAGGAAUAUACAUAAAUAUUUCAUCUAUGUAAAUCAUGUAAGAUAUUAAAUACAAAGAUAUCUAUAUUCAUAAACAAUUAACGAAUAAUAAAAAUAAAUAAUAUAAAAACGAACAAUAAAACUAAAAACUAAAUAAGACAAGAAUAAUACUUAUAGUAUACAAUUCUCCACAGCAGCCACUCAAGAAUUGGUCAUUUUUUAAUGUCUGGAACGCAUUCUACUUUAAAAAAACUUAUGAGCCAACUUGAAUUAGGGUAUCCAUCGAGAAGAAAAAUCCUUUUCUCUUCUUUCGCGGUUCUAUCGUCCGUGCUUAAAGUCCGCAGUUUCCACAGGAACGAAUUCGUGGGAUACCGCAAAUCUUGAUGUUCCUCGUGCUAACACACAUUCAGCGAACAUCUUCGAUUUCCCGUAAUCUGUGAAUCGACAGCUGAGCGAGAUACAGUUUCUUGGAUUAGUUACUACAUGGAAUAAUCAAUGAAGUUAAUGGUGUGUUAUUCAAAGACCGCCAAAAAUGGAUUUGAUUUCUUGCUGCAAAAUCUACGAUUUUUCUUGAACGAUUUAUCAGAUUUAUCAGGCGUCGUUUUACAUAUAAAAAAGUUAAAAAAUACAUAUAAAAAAAGGAGAAAGAAAAUUUAUGCAUUUUGUAUUAAGAUGAAUUAAUCUCGACUUUCUAAAUUUGGUAUCCCAUCAUUCUUUUCUCGUAUUACAAAUUUAUGGUGGAGUGCAAUUUUUCUUCCUGCAAUGCAUCAGUCGUUGAAUUGUUUUUCAAACGUUCCGCAAACUUCAAUGGAACUUUUUUAGAGGAUUUAUUCCAGUCGGAGAUAAAAGUUGCUCUAAAUGGAAAUCUCAAGAGAUUGCGAUAGUUUCUCGAGGAAGAUUCGAAAGGAUAAGAAAAUUUUUGCAAUUAAGAUUUUUUUAAUCGAAGAUCUUAUUGAAAGAUACAUACGUCGAUUAAAGUUAUAGAGAUAUAGAAAAUGUUUCACUUCGAACUUUUAACUUGAUCGAACAUCAAAUGAUUCGUUAAAUUCUGAUCUAAUAAUUAUAAUUCAAAACCGUAAUUGAAAUUAAAUAAAAAUAUUUAUAAAAAUAAUAGAUACAUUUGAAUAUUGAGAAUAUAGAGAGUAACUUUGAAAAAUAAUUUGAAAUGAAUCUAUAUCAUGUUAUAAAUUAAGCUGUAUGUAAUUAACUCAGAUUACAAUUUACGAUUAACGAAAAAAGAAUCAACCUAGAAUCAACUCUAAAUUCAUGGAAUUGGUCUCUUUAAAAUCCUGCCUUCCUUCCCAGAGUAGUCAAGAUUUAAGUGGUAGGUCAUGGACGGCGCCCUUCGAUUAUCAGCCCAAUCGAAUGCUUUUACCAAAGAGGUUACUCAGAUCCGAUCAUCGAUCCUUUGCCACCCUCAUCCAAUGAACAUUUCUAAAGCUCUGCACGUGACACAUGAAUAACCAUCAGCCACAAGGUGAUACUCCUGGACCACAAGCUGAUUACGUGCUAUCGUAUCCUCGAAAGUGUUUAAAUAAGAGAAUUUUUAGAUUAGAAUGAGAAUUUUUAAUUUUUUUUUUAUCUUUCUUUUACAUUCGGAUUAAAAUUAAUAUUUUACAUAUAUUUAGUCAAUGAUAUAUAUCUGAUAAUAAUUAAAAUAUAAUUAAGCAUAUAACUAAAGGAUCUAACUAAAGGAUGAUAGAUUUAUUCUGAUAAUUUUUAAUUAUUAUUAUCUAUAAUAUAUGUAAAAAAAAUUUUGCAUCGAUAUAAAUUGAAUGAACUACUAAUAACUCGAUAAUUAUUGAUUAUUGUAUGAAAAUAUAUAUAUUUCUUUAAUUAAUUUUUUUUUUAAUUUUAAGAUUUUUUUGCUAUAAAGUUUUCAAUGAUCAUAUAAAAAAAAAUAAUCGUAUUAUACAUUCUAUACUUACAUUACAUGUUAUUAUAUUAAUUUUCAUAUGAUAAAUAAUGAAAACAAUUAUUUUAAAAAAUUAUUUAAUUUCCAAAUCUAAAUUAUUUUAAAUUUCUUUAAAAAAAAUCCAGUUAUCAAAAUAAAUUUGUCUCUCUAUCAAUUCA